This 237-nucleotide long non-coding RNA is filed under the name Panax ginseng (ginseng). RNAcentral's name for it is "long non-coding RNA (PGIN_LNC016617)". The record is from RNAcentral. Lineage: Eukaryota; Viridiplantae; Streptophyta; Magnoliopsida; Apiales; Araliaceae.
GAGAAUAUAGCGAGUACGAGUCGGGGUAUGGAAUGAAGGUUCUAGAGAGAGUUAUUUAGUAGUCCUCACCAUUUUUGUAAAAUAAUGUAUCAAUAAAUGUGAUGAGGAUUUAUUUGAGUAUAGAUAUUGUCUAGAAGAUAAUAUUUGUAUUCAAACUCACAGUUUUACUGUUGUAAUAAUAAAGUUGUAGUUGUUUCUGUACUAUGUAUUGACAACUCAGGAUGGGUGAUGUAUACC